GCCGAAGUGGCGGAACAGGCAGACGCACUAGACUCAAAAUCUAGCGAGCUCUGCGCUCGUGCGGGUUCGACUCCCGCCUUCGGCACCA
RNAcentral lists this transfer RNA (88 nucleotides) under Candidatus Atribacteria bacterium. Its description in RNAcentral is "tRNA-Leu". It matches the Rfam family "tRNA". Rfam says of the family: Transfer RNA (tRNA) molecules are approximately 80 nucleotides in length. Their secondary structure includes four short double-helical elements and three loops (D, anti-codon, and T loops). Further hydrogen bonds mediate the characteristic L-shaped molecular structure. tRNAs have two regions of fundamental functional importance: the anti-codon, which is responsible for specific mRNA codon recognition, and the 3' end, to which the tRNAs corresponding amino acid is attached (by aminoacyl-tRNA synthetases). tRNAs cope with the degeneracy of the genetic code in two manners: having more than one tRNA (with a specific anti-codon) for a particular amino acid; and 'wobble' base-pairing, i.e. permitting non-standard base-pairing at the 3rd anti-codon position. RNAcentral also lists the same sequence under 2 other names. The record is from RNAcentral. Lineage: Bacteria; Pseudomonadati; Atribacterota; Atribacteria.